This 64-nucleotide transfer RNA is filed under the name Enneaphyllus aeneipennis. Its description in RNAcentral is "tRNA-Trp". Lineage: Eukaryota; Metazoa; Arthropoda; Insecta; Coleoptera; Cerambycidae. The record is from RNAcentral.
AAGGAUUUAAGUUAAAUAAACUAUUAGUCUUCAAAGCUGAAAACAGGCAUAUCCCUAAGCCUUA